AUUGAACGCUGGCGGCAGGCCUAACACAUGCAAGUCGAACGGUAACAGGAAGUAGCUUGCUACUUUGCUGACGAGUGGCGGACGGGUGAGUAAUGUCUGGGGAUCUGCCUGAUGGAGGGGGAUAACUACUGGAAACGGUAGCUAAUACCGCAUAAUGUCGCAAGACCAAAGCGGGGGACUUUCGAGCCUCGCACCAUCAGAUGAACCCAGAUGGGAUUAGCUAGUAGGUAAGGUAAUGGCUUGCCUAGGCGACGAUCCCUAGCUGGUCUGAGAGGAUGACCAGCCACUCGGGAACUGAGGCACGGUCCAGCCUCCUACGGGAGGCAGCAGUGGGGAAUAUUGCACAAUGGGCGCAAGCCUGAUGCAGCCAUGCCGCGUGUAUGAAGAAGGCCUUCGGGUUGUAAAGUACUUUCAGCGGGGAGGAAGGCGGUGAAGUUAAUAGCUUCACCGAUUGACGUUACCCGCAGAAGAAGCACCGGCUAACUCCGUGCCAGCAGCCGCGGUAA
This 506-nucleotide ribosomal RNA is filed under the name uncultured bacterium. RNAcentral describes it as "partial 16S ribosomal RNA". It matches the Rfam family "Bacterial small subunit ribosomal RNA", at positions 30 to 523 of the family's 1533-position model. The record is from RNAcentral.